UGAGCAACCUGCCCCAGACACAGGGAUAACCCCGGGAAACCGGGGCUAAUACCGGAUACUCCGGUCGAGCCGCAUGACUCGAUCGGGAAAGCUCCGACGGUCUGGGAUGGGCCCGCGGCCUAUCAGCUUGUUGGUGGGGUAACGGCCUACCAAGGCGACGACGGGUAGCUGGUCUGAGAGGACGACCAGCCACACUGGAACUGAGAUACGGUCCAGACUCCUACGGGA
Molecule: ribosomal RNA, 228 nt
Filed under: uncultured bacterium
Lineage: Bacteria
Description: partial 16S ribosomal RNA
Rfam family: Bacterial small subunit ribosomal RNA
Source: RNAcentral